RNAcentral lists this long non-coding RNA (4318 nucleotides) under Homo sapiens (human). RNAcentral's name for it is "HSALNT0089596". Lineage: Eukaryota; Metazoa; Chordata; Mammalia; Primates; Hominidae. The record is from RNAcentral.
AUUUGGUUUCAAUUUUUUUCUUUAAUUACACAGUAAUUGCUAUGUUUUGGAUGUAUAUGCCCCUAUGAAAUUCAUAUGCUAAAAUCUAAUGACUAAGAUGAUGGUUUAGAAGGUGGAGCCUCUGGUAGUGAUUAGGUCAUGAGGAUCAAUGAGGGCUCCAGCCUUGUGAACAGGAUUAACGUCCUUACAAAAGGCUGCAGAGAGCGGCCUCGCUCUUCCCCUCUUCCACUGUGAGGAUGCAGCAAGAAGGCGCCAUGUUGGAAGCACAGAGCAGCCCUCACCAGAGACCGAGGCUGCUGGGGCCCUGAUCUUGGACUUCCAGCCUCCAGUACUGUGAGAAAUAAAUUACUAUUACUUACACAUUACCCAAUCUGUAGUAUUUUGUUACAGCAGCCCAAAUGGACUGAGACAGUAAUCUACAAUCAUGGAGCUCAUACAAUGUUUUAUAUUUGUAGAUAUUGAAAUAACAUUAUUAUAGAAAUGAAAAUGAUGGCAACAUGUUGAGAGCUGGAGCCUGCAAUAACUUUUCAAGAACAUGAAGGGGUCCAUCCAUCACUUGGGUUUGAGGAACAGACAGCGGAGGACCCUGCCUCAUCUCCUUCCGCUCCACGACGUCUCAUGUCAAGAGCUGCUCGGCUUCUUUUGCUCCUCUCUCCUCUUCAGCAUAUCAGCCCUUAUUCUUCUGUUACUGUGACUCCAUACUUAGCUCUUGAGCACCUUAGCGGGGGUGUCCUUCUUGGGAAAAGUUUUGGAACCCUAAUUUAGUCCAAUUACCAUAAUUUACACAUGAAGGAACUGGGGCCCAGAUGGAUAAAGUGACUCAUUCAAGGGCACUGGAGAUUGGAGCUGGCUCUCCUGAUCCAAAGCCCAGAGCAUAGAUCCCCAGGAAAAGCACAGGGAAGCAGCACUUGCUACUUCCCACAGACCUGCUAAUUUCCUGUUUCAAAAUGGGAGCAAGGCUAGACCACAGUCAUGGGUGCAAGGCAUUAUAAGAGGCAUGGCACAGUCUGUUCCCAGAAAUGCACCAUUGAUUUGAACACCCAAAUGGCUAGGAAUAUUAAGAGCUAAUCCAAACCAUCAGAACUGCUGGCUCCAACUCUAGCAAAGAAAAAUAAACAAAAUCUUUCUAAACUUAGAAAUGGUUCAGGAUUAUUUUUCUUUUUUUUUUCCAGCUCAUCAAAGAUUAGCUGUAGAGUUCUCUCCACCCACCUCCAACACAGUGAUUAAAGGUCCAGCAUUGCUGGCCAGCUAAGACGCUGGCUGACAAGAAGAACUAUGCUUACAUAAAUAUGGAAGAUUGAACUGAGCGCUUAUACUGCUUGACAGAGUGAUUAGUCUGAAUAACAACAAGGAGAAAGAGAAACAGAAGCUUGACUUCAUCUUUAAUGAAACUGGGUGGCAUGCAUAAACCAUAGUUGCAAUGCAUGAAGACUGAAGGAGGCCGGGUGCAGUGGCUCACACCUGUAAUCUCAGCACUUUGGGAGGCCAAGGUGGGCGGAUCACCUGAGGUCAGGAGUUCGAGACCAGCUGGGCCAACAUGGUAAAACCCUGUCUCUACUAAAAGUACAAAAAUUAGCCAGGCAUGAUGGCGGGUGCCUGUAAUCCCAGCCACUUGGGAGGCUGAGGCAGGAGAAUUGCUUGAACCUGGGAGGCAGAGGUUGCAGCAAGCUGAGAUCGUGCCACUGUAUUCCAGCCUGGGUGACAGAGCCAGGCUCCAUCUCAAAAAAAAUAAAUAAAUAAAGACUGAAGGUGGAUGAAUGAGUGACAACAGACAGCAGAACGGAGUACGGUGAAGGCUUCAGGGAGGAUGUGAUGAGAAGCAGGAUAGCUGGUACCUUCAGGACUUUGGGAAGCCUUGAGAAUCAGAGGUGCUGGGUAAUGUAGAAGACAGGUAAAAUCAGAAAUGAGAAAAGAGAAAAAGAGAAAAUUGUGGAGAAGAAAAUAUCAAAGAAGUAAUAUUUAAAAAUUUCCCAGAAUUAGAGGCUUAAGUUUCCAGAUUGAAAGGGCCCACUGAGAGAUAAACCAAUGAAGGAGAAGAAGACACUCAAAAAAUUCUCCAGCCAAGCACUCUGAUGUAAGCAUUGGAAAUGGUCUGGGCUGUUUCCAAUAAUAUAAUUCUGUGGAGAAAGUGUCAGAGCUACAAUCUUCUCCCUAAGGAUAAUUACAAGUAGAAGGUAAAUAUGUGUCUUUCUGAGCCAUUCAAUAAGUUGAAGGGUUAUGCAAAUCUACAUUUUAGAUGUUAUUUCCAUAAGUCGAUUGUGUUUCUUUACUUCUAACUGCAGUACUCCACAAAGUAUUUUAGGCAGAAUAAAGACACAUACAAUACAACAAAAUGAAAUAAAUUAAAAAUAAGCAAGGAACACAGCAACGGGAAAAUAAAGAUGUGAAACUAAGAGAAACUAAGAGUGAGGUUUAUACACACAAAAUACAUGCAAAUAAUUCCUAUAUAUUUGAUAAAAUAGGCCACAAAUUUGGUUUUACUCUUGUUAGUCAACACAAGGAGAGAAGCCUGAUCGGACAUGUGAUUCCUAAGGCCUAUAGCAUAAAAACAAACCAGCCCCUAUUCCUGUAAUGAAGAGAGGAUGCUGUGUAAUGGGAACAAUGUACUCAACAGCACCCUUACAGUCAAUGCAAUGAUCAUUUCACUGGACUAUUCCUAGACAUGGCUGAGAAAGGAAAAUACAAUUCUAAGACCCCAGUGGACUGAAUGGACCCCCUCUUGGCCAAGGGGACCCCAGAGAAACCUCAGAAGCUGAGUUUCCAGCCAUGAUGUAAUGGGAGGUGAGGCAUGGCUCAUUAUACCACUCCCUCCUUAACCACCAUUAGGCUUUCUUUCCUAAGGGCUAAACAGAAACCAGUCCUUCCAAAAGACUCCACACUGAUAACGUUGGUUACUAGCUUAUUCUUCCAGGCACAAAACAAAGACAACUUCGGGAGGCCAAGGCAGGUGGAUCACUUGAGCCCAGAAGUUCAAGACCAUUCUGGGCAACAUGGUGAAGCCCCAUCUCUACAACCAGAAAAUAUAAAAAGUAGCCUGGCAUGGUGGUAUGAUCCUAUAGUCCCAGCAACUCAGGAGGCUAAGGUGAGAGGAUCGCUUGAGCCCAGGAGUUUGAGUCUGCAGUGAGCUAUGAUCAUGCCACUGCACUCCAGCCUGUGUGACAGAGCAAGACUCUGUCUCAAGAAAAUAAAAAUAAAUAAAAUUUAAAAAUAAACAAAACAAAGAAAAGAAGAGAUUAACCAUUCCUUCAUCCCUCCCUGACAUUUGCUUCCUCUAUUCUCUUUUUUCUCUAAUGUUCACCUUAUCUUAUGUAAAAUGUAGAUUUAGUGGGCACCAACUGAAGUCUCACAAGUAUGUAACCAUUAGUCUCACUGUCAUGCUCCCCCCGCCACCACCAAUUUUUAAGGAAAAUGUAGAAUACUAAACCUCCUGAGAACUUCUUUGGAAAAACAGCCAGAGAUAUGUCUGUGACUCAUGUUUUUCCUGGAUGCACCCUCAAGCUGGAUCAAUAAACCUCAAUUCAUUGGGACACUUGCCUCUGUCACCCAUUUGGUUGUCCAUAGCUCAAUGGCAUUAAGACAACGUAAAAUUCAGCUAACAUAUUUUGGGUAAGAGAAUGAUGCUGAUGAGAUGUUAUUCAGCCUCUUCACUCUAUAAUUAUCUGAUUUAGCCUAAGGCUAGCUUUUAAGGAAUUGGAUGUGUGAAAGGAACAUAAAAUCUCAGGACCCCUAAGUCACUCUGCCAAAGGGAAAAUUUAAGCUUGGGAGCUGAGUCCCACAAAACUGCCUUCCAUUUUGUUCCUAAAUAGCUGCAAAGCUAGAAGGUCACAUAUCUCCCUGGGGACCUCCCUCACAAAUUGCUCACAAGGAAAUUCUUUGUGGGCCCCAAGAUCUUUACCUUGAAACAGAGUUCUGUUGAACUUCACCUUGACAAUGUAAAUGAACAGCUUACCUUCACAGGUACAGGACAAAGACAGGACUAGAAGUCACCCCUCCGCUCACAUGAGACAAAUGCAUAGUUGACUGUUCCUCUGAGAUAUGAAUAGCACGGGGUAGUUGCAGGAGGGUGGAAAAUAAGAACUAGGCAAACUUACCACAGGAUAACAGAAAACCCAAAAUAAGGGAAAGAAAAUGGCCAAAACUCCAGUCAGGGUGAGAGGUCCAUGGCUCUUCCAGGCAAACCCAAAUAAUGGAGAAAGGGAGCCAUAACUGGGAGGUCCCUGAAAUCCCCCUUUUCCAGAAUACCUAAUGAUUAUCCUACCCCCUAAUUAAAGAAACAUCCAUAAAAUUAGAAACCCAAGCUCCAUUGUGUGUGACUGAU